This 29-nucleotide non-coding RNA is filed under the name Homo sapiens (human). Lineage: Eukaryota; Metazoa; Chordata; Mammalia; Primates; Hominidae. The record is from RNAcentral.
UCCUUGAACUUGAGAUCGGUGUCAGUGGU